This is a non-coding RNA of Zonotrichia albicollis (white-throated sparrow), 965 nucleotides long. NCBI's taxonomy places the organism in Eukaryota, Metazoa, Chordata, Aves, Passeriformes, Passerellidae. The record is from RefSeq and is a predicted model, not a curated record.
UAUAAACUCCCCCUUCAAUUUUAAGUGAAGUGUUUAUCAGGUGGGAAAAUCUCUCCAAAAAGGAUAAAAAUAUCAGAGACAGCCAGACAAUAUUUGGUUCACUAGAGAAAAAUAUCAGUUUCUUACAGGGAGUAGAGGAAGCAGCAGAAACUGUACAUAACCAGAAAACAAAAGCAUAAUUGUUAAUGUUAUUUGAAAUCCACGAAUGCCUUAUUUGGUGCUCUCACCUGAGAUGGAAGACCAUCAGCUUUUUCUAAAUGAGCGUGCUGAUAUUUUCCAGUAAUUCUCAGUUUUAAAGCAGUGACAGGAUUUCAAAGGAAGAAAGACAAAAACAAUUUUCUGUUGAGAAAUACAGUCCAUAAUUCAGAAGACACUGAGGAUGCAGAAAAAGAGUGACAACAGGCCAAGUGUAAAUUGUCAGUGUUCUGCUCUCCAGAUCCUCAAGGUGAUGCUGGAAACUGAAGAGCGUGGAGGAAAAAAGAACAAAAAAAAGUGGUUUGCAAGGAAGACUGCAAAGUUUGCAAGAUUUCCCUGAAGACUUCAAUCAGUUUGACUUAUAAAAUACAUGUCAAUGAGGCAACUUUCCAUGUUUAUUCAUAGCUUAGAAAUAUUUGGGAAAAAAAACCAAAACAAAACAACAAAAAGACCAAAACCUGACAUCAAGGAGAAGACGCAAUCCGUUGUGAGACCUGAAGCCAAAUAUGCAAAGGAAAAAAAUGUUGAAGAAUAUUCAUAGGACUAAUAUUGAGCAAUACAACAUACUGUUGAAGGAAAUAUGGCCUCAUGGUCUCAUAUCAAGGAUGCAUGUCUUUCCAGAAAAUGUGUUUCAGUCAAGCAGAACUCAGUAAGGGUAAAAACAAGGGUGUCUGUUUUAAAUUCAGUGACCUAUGCUCUACAAGAAAUCCAGUUGUAUUUAUCUCUUACAUAUAAGCAAAAUUACAAUAAAGAGUGAAGCAUGAAUUUUA